This 303-nucleotide ribosomal RNA is filed under the name uncultured bacterium. Its description in RNAcentral is "partial 16S ribosomal RNA". It matches the Rfam family "Bacterial small subunit ribosomal RNA", at positions 507 to 807 of the family's 1533-position model. The record is from RNAcentral.
AGCAGCCGCCGCGGUAAUACGAAGGGUGCAAGCGUUACUCGGAAUUACUGGGCGUAAAGCGUGCGUAGGUGGUGGUUUAAGUCCGUUGUGAAAGCCCUGGGCUCAACCUGGGAAUUGCAGUGGAUGCUGGGUCACUAGAGUGUGGUAGAGGAUAGUGGAAUUUCCGGUGUAGCAGUGAAAUGCGUAGAGAUCGGAAGGAACAUCUGUGGCGAAGGCGACUAUCUGGGCCAACACUGACACUGAGGCACGAAAGCGUGGGGAGCAAACAGGAUUAGAUACCCGCGUAGUCCCUGUCUCUUAUAC